GCGGUUGUAGCAUAAAGGUCAAUGCAGAGGUUUGUGAAACCUUUGAUGUGGGUUCAAUUCCCAUCAACCGCCCCA
This 75-nucleotide transfer RNA is filed under the name Candidatus Dojkabacteria bacterium. Its description in RNAcentral is "tRNA-His". It matches the Rfam family "tRNA". Rfam says of the family: Transfer RNA (tRNA) molecules are approximately 80 nucleotides in length. Their secondary structure includes four short double-helical elements and three loops (D, anti-codon, and T loops). Further hydrogen bonds mediate the characteristic L-shaped molecular structure. tRNAs have two regions of fundamental functional importance: the anti-codon, which is responsible for specific mRNA codon recognition, and the 3' end, to which the tRNAs corresponding amino acid is attached (by aminoacyl-tRNA synthetases). tRNAs cope with the degeneracy of the genetic code in two manners: having more than one tRNA (with a specific anti-codon) for a particular amino acid; and 'wobble' base-pairing, i.e. permitting non-standard base-pairing at the 3rd anti-codon position. The record is from RNAcentral.